UAGUCAUAUGCUUGUCUUAAAGAUUAAGCCAUGCAUGUCUAAGUAUAAGCAUCUUAUACGGCGAAACUGCGAAUGGCUCAUUAAAUCAGUUAUAGUUCAUUUGAUAAUACCUCAAAAAACUACUUGGAUAACCGUAGUAAUUCUAGAGCUAAUACAUGCUAAAAGCCUCGACUUUUGUGGGAGAGGUGCAUUUGUUAGAUACAAAAAACCAAUACUGGUGGGGGGCAACUCUGCCAGUUCUCUUUGGUGACUCAUGACAACUUUGCGAAUCGCAUGG
Molecule: ribosomal RNA, 277 nt
Filed under: uncultured eukaryote
Lineage: Eukaryota
Description: partial 18S ribosomal RNA
Rfam family: Eukaryotic small subunit ribosomal RNA
Source: RNAcentral